RNAcentral lists this transfer RNA (74 nucleotides) under Tautonia sociabilis. It matches the Rfam family "tRNA". From Rfam's summary of the family: Transfer RNA (tRNA) molecules are approximately 80 nucleotides in length. Their secondary structure includes four short double-helical elements and three loops (D, anti-codon, and T loops). Further hydrogen bonds mediate the characteristic L-shaped molecular structure. tRNAs have two regions of fundamental functional importance: the anti-codon, which is responsible for specific mRNA codon recognition, and the 3' end, to which the tRNAs corresponding amino acid is attached (by aminoacyl-tRNA synthetases). tRNAs cope with the degeneracy of the genetic code in two manners: having more than one tRNA (with a specific anti-codon) for a particular amino acid; and 'wobble' base-pairing, i.e. permitting non-standard base-pairing at the 3rd anti-codon position. Lineage: Bacteria; Pseudomonadati; Planctomycetota; Planctomycetia; Isosphaerales; Isosphaeraceae. RNAcentral also lists the same sequence under 3 other names. The record is from Rfam by way of RNAcentral.
GGGCGAUUAGCUCAGUUGGCUAGAGCGCCAGUUCGACACACUGGAGGUCACAGGUUCGAGCCCUGUAUCGCCCA